Molecule: ribosomal RNA, 450 nt
Filed under: uncultured bacterium
Lineage: Bacteria
Description: partial 16S ribosomal RNA
Rfam family: Bacterial small subunit ribosomal RNA
Source: RNAcentral
GUGGGGAAUCUUCCGCAAUGGACGAAAGUCUGACGGAGCAACGCCGCGUGAGUGAAGAAGGUUUUCGGAUCGUAAAGCUCUUUCGUUAGGGACGAACGUGCUCUUUGUGAAUAAUGAGGAGUAAUGACGGUACCUAAAUAAGAAGCCACGGCUAACUACGUGCCAGCAGCCGCGGUAAUACGUAGGUGGCAAGCGUUGUCCGGAAUUAUUGGGCGUAAAGCGCGCGCAGGCGGGAUAUCAAGUCUGUCUUAAAAGUGCGAGGCUCAACCUCGUGAGGGGACAGAAACUGGUAUUCUUGAGUGUUGGAGAGGAAAGUGGAAUUCCAAGUGUAGCGGUGAAAUGCGUAGAGAUUUGGAAGAACACCAGUGGCGAAGGCGACUUUCUGGACGAUGUCUGACGCUGAGGCGCGAAAGCUAGGGGAGCGAACGGGAUUAGAUACCCUUGUAGUCC